Long non-coding RNA from Neopsephotus bourkii (Bourke's parrot), 1850 nucleotides. RefSeq lists it as uncharacterized. The transcript is spliced from 7 exons. NCBI's taxonomy places the organism in Eukaryota, Metazoa, Chordata, Aves, Psittaciformes, Psittacidae. The record is from RefSeq and is a predicted model, not a curated record.
AAAGCUGUCACAAGAAGUGAUUGUUUAGUUUCUUGUUGCAAAGCAGAUACAGUGAUGAUGGCAUAGUUCAGCAGAAUAUUCUGUGACGAACAGUUUUGUCUUUCGCUCCUAUCUGAAGUGUCUGUUGUGAUCUUUUGCUUAGGGGGUGUUGCUUGGCUGUGAAGCCUGAGGGAAUCUGAUGGGUUUUUUUCUUUUGUUACAGGUACUGGGAAAUGAAGCUAUAAACUGUGCAAGGUAAAUAGUGUAUUGCCUGCAUUUGUGAAAGCUCAUUUAUAUCCCAGAUGUGUGGAAGGCUGUGUGUGAUGACAGCAUAGUUCAGCAGAUGACUCAUGGUGAUCAUGCAGUUACUGUCUUUCGCUCCUAGCUGAUGCAGCCUUCUGCACCUUAAGCUGUUGGACAAUUCAUGAGGAAAGCUGAGGGUGAAACCCACUUUAGCUCCAUGGAUGUGUUCCAAAAAUUUGUUUCAGAAGCUAAAAAAUUUAGAAGGAUAAAGGGCUGCUCUUGAUGGAGGGUACCUGUGCCUCCAGUGUGAGAAUAUUUCACCUGUUUCUAAUGCUUGUGAAGACAAGGCCUUUCUAAUUGAAGGCUUCCAGAGUUUGUCAUUGCAAUGGCUGCUGUGGUGAAGCUGUGAAGUAGUGCUGUUGUAGUCUAUCAGCAAAAAUUUGAGAAUGGGAGAACUGCUGCAUGCUUUGUGACAGAUGAUUCUUCCUUGAGUGAAGCUCAUGAGGAGUUUGUGUGAGGAACAAGACUAACUCAUGUCUGAGGAAAGGACUGUGCCAUCUGCAGCCUCAUUGGGUAAGACCGCACAGCAGAUGAAUUCUGUUAAAAAAAAUAUGGGGAUAUUUGUAGCCACUGAUGAAAUUUGAUUCUGCCAAAUGAAUGACUGUGAUAUUACACUUUCCGUUCCACUUUUCUCUGAGGUUACAAAGUUGCUGUGGAGCUUUUAGAGUUGUGCUACUGCAAGAUUUAAUUGUGGUUUCUUACUCCAGGUGAGGAGGCAACUUUGAAAUUACUCUAUGAAGAACUGAAGGUGAGUAUAACUAGUAAUGAUGAAAUAAGUUUGCUGGAAUGAAUGAUGAUAACCUUAGCUUGAACUCUCUCGCUGAACAGAGAUGAAAAUCUAAGGUCUGAGUUGUUCCAAGCAAGUUUAUUGUACUGAUCUGAUGCCUUAUAAUGGUUCUGUCUGUCUUAAUAGGUGGAAGAUUGCAGAAUAAUGCAUUAACUUGCAUGAGCAGCACUAAAAAAGCCCAAGAGUUCUUUUACUCACACCAGUUAUGUUUCACUGAUGGGUACCAAUAAAAAUCUGUAAACUCUACCUAUUGUUGUGAACUGUUUUCUGAUUAACAGCUUCCUGUAAAACACCUCUUGGCUACUUGAUGAAAGCUUCAAAUGCUUUUAGAGCAAGGCCUAAACUAGUUGGAAUGCUAGUCCUGCAAGGGUCAAAAGUGUCAGAUACUGCUGGUGUGCAGACUGCAUAACCAAACAAAGAUUUGGACAAAGCUAAAUCAAAGUAGUAAUUAGUAUGUUUUCUCAUAACUAAACACUGUUUGUGUAUUUUUCCUGAAAAGUUUUAAAACAAAGUCACUGCUUGUGAGGCCCUGAGGCCUGCUAAGGUAUUGCUGCUUCCCAGAGCUCAUUAAUAGGAGGUUUUUCUCUGAAAAAUUCAUUUAACUUCCCCCAUAUUUCUGGUAUCUCAGGGGUGAUACUGAUAUGAGAAGUCAGCUCUAGGAAGAGCUCAUUCUCUAUAACGUGAGCUAAUGCUAUAGUACUUCUAAUGAGAAGUAGAACUAAACAUCCGAGCUGUUCUGCAGGAAUAUUUUCACAUUACUGGUGUUCCCUAGAACCUUUCG